This 492-nucleotide ribosomal RNA is filed under the name uncultured bacterium. RNAcentral describes it as "partial 16S ribosomal RNA". It matches the Rfam family "Bacterial small subunit ribosomal RNA", at positions 29 to 507 of the family's 1533-position model. The record is from RNAcentral.
AGUGAACGCUGGCGGUAGGCCUAACACAUGCAAGUCGAACGGCAGCACAGUAAGAGCUUGCUCUUACGGGUGGCGAGUGGCGGACGGGUGGGGAAUACAUCGGAAUCUACUUUUUCGUGGGGGAUAACGUAGGGAAACUUACGCUAAUACCGCAUACGACCUACGGGUGAAAGCAGGGGAUCUUCGGACCUUGCGCGAUUGAAUGAGCCCAUGUCGGAUUAGCUAGUUGGCGGGGUAAAGGCCCACCAAGGCGACGAUCCGUAGCUGGUCUGAGAGGAUGAUCAGCCACACUGGAACUGAGACACGGUCCAGACUCCUACGGGAGGCAGCAGUGGGGAAUAUUGGACAAUGGGCGCAAGCCUGAUCCAGCCAUACCGCGUGGGUGAAGAAGGCCUUCGGGUUGUAAAGCCCUUUUGUUGGGAAAGAAAAGCAGCAGGUUAAUACCCCGCUGUUCUGACGGUACCCAAAGAAUAAGCACCGGCUAACUUCGUG